CUUCCAGCCAUCCCACUCGACUGCUCUGCAUUAGUAUCCCUGUUGUGUUGGUGGCUCUGCUGCUGUUGCUGGGACUAUUUCGAUAUCGGAAACAUCAAACAGUCAUCUCAGGUACCAAUAUGGAUAAGAAUGGAAACAAGGAGGAGCAGUUGGUUGUUAC
This is a long non-coding RNA of Scomber scombrus (Atlantic mackerel), 160 nucleotides long. RefSeq lists it as uncharacterized. NCBI's taxonomy places the organism in Eukaryota, Metazoa, Chordata, Actinopteri, Scombriformes, Scombridae. The record is from RefSeq and is a predicted model, not a curated record. The transcript has 3 exons.